UGGGGAAUAUUGCACAAUGGGCGCAAGCCUGAUGCAGCCAUGCCGCGUGUGUGAAGAAGGCCUUCGGGUUGUAAAGCACUUUCAGCGGGGAGGAAGGCGAUAAGGUUAAUAACCUUGUCGAUUGACGUUACCCGCAGAAGAAGCACCGGCUAACUCCGUGCCAGCAGCCGCGGUAAUACGGAGGGUGCAAGCGUUAAUCGGAAUUACUGGGCGUAAAGCGCACGACGGCGGUCAGUCAAGUCGGAUGUGAAAUCCCCGGGCUCAACUUGGGGACUGCAUUCGAAACUGGCAGGCUUGAGUCUUGUAGAGGGUGGUAGAAUUCCAGGUGUAGCGGUGAAAUGCGUAGCGAUCUGGAGGAAUACCGGCGGCGAAGGCGGCCCCCUGGACAAAGACUGACGCUCAGGUGCGAAAGCGUGGGGAGCAAACAGG
Molecule: ribosomal RNA, 429 nt
Filed under: Chloroflexota bacterium
Lineage: Bacteria; Bacillati; Chloroflexota
Description: Chloroflexi bacterium partial 16S ribosomal RNA
Rfam family: Bacterial small subunit ribosomal RNA
Source: RNAcentral